This is a long non-coding RNA of Melospiza melodia melodia, 512 nucleotides long. RefSeq lists it as uncharacterized. The record is from RefSeq and is a predicted model, not a curated record. The transcript is spliced from 3 exons. NCBI's taxonomy places the organism in Eukaryota, Metazoa, Chordata, Aves, Passeriformes, Passerellidae.
UCUCAGUGGCCAUGACUGUUCUGCCAUUACUCCCCAUUCCCCUGGAGAGGGAAUCUUUUAGAUUCUUUGUUUCCUUUCUUGUGUGAUGAAAUCACAUCACUCAUUUUUGCCCUUCUGUUUCUGUUUUCUCGCUCAGUGCCUGCAAGGACUGGAUUUUCUUCAUUCAAAUGAUGUGGUCCAUCGAGACGUGAAGAGUGACAACAUCCUUCUCAGAACGGACGGUUCUGUCAAACUGGCUGAUUUUGGCCUCGCUACUCAGCUCACCCCUGAGCAGAGCAGACGGUGCUCGGUAACCGGGACUCCUUGGUGGAUGGCGCCUGAAGUGGUGACAGGUCAACCAUAUGGCCCCAAAGUGGACAUAUGGUCUUUUGGAAUUGUGGGAAUUGAAAUGAUAGAACAAGAACCUCCUUACUUGGGCGAAAGUUCUGGCACGGCUACAUACCUGAUAGCCACAGUAGGGACUCCACAGCUGCGGCAGCCCAAGCUCCUCUCGGCUUUGCUGCGUGACUUCC